AGCGAACGCUGGCGGCAGGCCUAACACAUGCAAGUCGAACGAACUCUUCGGAGUUAGUGGCGGACGGGUGAGUAACACGUGGGAACGUGCCUUUAGGUUCGGAAUAACUCAGGGAAACUUGUGCUAAUACCGAAUGUGCCCUUCGGGGGAAAGAUUUAUCGCCUUUAGAGCGGCCCGCGUCUGAUUAGCUAGUUGGUGAGGUAAAGGCUCACCAAGGCGACGAUCAGUAGCUGGUCUGAGAGGAUGAUCAGCCACAUUGGGACUGAGACACGGCCCAAACUCCUACGGGAGGCAGCAGUGGGGAAUCUUGCGCAAUGGGCGAAAGCCUGACGCAGCCAUGCCGCGGGAAUGAUGAAGGUCUUAGGAUGGUAAAAUUCUUUCACCGGGGACGAUAAUGACGGUACCAGGAGAAGAAGCCCCGGCUAACUUCGU
This 432-nucleotide ribosomal RNA is filed under the name uncultured bacterium. RNAcentral describes it as "partial 16S ribosomal RNA". It matches the Rfam family "Bacterial small subunit ribosomal RNA", at positions 29 to 506 of the family's 1533-position model. The record is from RNAcentral.